UACGGAGGGUGCAAGCGUUAUCCGGAUUCACUGGGUUUAAAGGGUGCGUAGAUGGGCAGGUAAGUCAGUGGUGAAAUCUCCGGGCUUAACCCGGAAACUGCCAUUGAUACUAUCUGUCUUGAAUACCGUGGAGGUGAGCGGAAUAUGUCAUGUAGCGGUGAAAUGCUUAGAUAUGACAUAGAACACCAAUUGCGAAGGCAGCUCACUACGCGAAUAUUGACACUGAGGCACGAAAGCGUGGGGAUCAAACAGG
RNAcentral lists this ribosomal RNA (253 nucleotides) under uncultured bacterium. RNAcentral describes it as "partial 16S ribosomal RNA". It matches the Rfam family "Bacterial small subunit ribosomal RNA", at positions 524 to 776 of the family's 1533-position model. The record is from RNAcentral.